Molecule: long non-coding RNA, 544 nt
Organism: Panthera uncia (snow leopard)
Lineage: Eukaryota; Metazoa; Chordata; Mammalia; Carnivora; Felidae
Exons: 3
Source: RefSeq, a predicted model, not a curated record
UACAGAGACACAAGUACAGGCGACUGGGCAGCUUCCUGGAAUCUGGCUGUAGUCAACAUGUUUAUUGGUCGUGGAAGGAGCAGCUACAGCCAAGAGUAGAGAUUAAUAAUAUUAUGCAGGAAGAGUCAUCUGCUUUGGAACUUCCUCCCAUGGGAGGGUGACUUCAACAGUAACAGCCAACCUUAUUGCGUUUUGACUACAUUCAAGUCACUGUGCUUAGUGCUUGAUAACAACCACGACCAUAACAACUGUCAACAUUGAUGGGAUGCUUACUACCUAGUGAACACUGUGAUAAAGGCUUUCCAUGAGACAGCUUAUUGAAUCUUUACAACAAAUCUAGGAGAAAAUGCCCAAAGACCCAGAGGAAAUAUGGAGUACUCAGCCACUGCAUCCUAGACAUCAACUGUCUCUACUUAAUCAAAUCUGCCUCUCUUCAGGAUGUUUUGCUAACACCUGGAAUAGGGAUGCUUGAAGACAGAAGCACUUGGAAAAACUGCCUGUGCUCCUAUAUCCAUUUCUGUAAUAAUUAAAUAGAAGAAAGAGA